AGAAAUGUAAGGCUGGCAACAAAUUAACAAGGGUUCAGUUAUUUUACAAGUGAGAACAAUGGUUCCUCUGACCACUUUUGAUUUAUUCCAUCUCUGGUUUCCAUGGAGCGUCAUAAAAGGAUCUAUGUGUGCGUCAAGAGAGUGGAGAAAGAGAAGUGGCCCGGAGCUAACAGGGGAAGAAGCAUCCGCCUGCUCAAUAGCAGCUCUGAGGCAGAGAUGGAAGAUUGUGGAUCUGCUGGGACGAGGUUAUCUCAGAAGCCAAACCAGAAAGAAUAUCCCAACCCAGGACUCCACUAUGCGAUAAUGGAGGGAACAGAGACCUUAAAGUCAGGCAGUUUGGCGUUCAUGUCCUCGCUUUGCCACUUCUUCCCUGUGUAGCCUCAGCUGCCCUUAAAUUUACAAGGAAACAUUCCUUCUAGGAGUCUCUGGAUAUUGGACUAAGAUUGUCACACGCCAUUAACACAGUUCAAUUCUGCAACCUCACUGAUUGGAAAACCUGAUUCAAUAUUGCAAGCUUGUUUUUGGCAACUGCACCAGCAUCUUCCAAAAAUAUAUUAGAGUUGCCACUGACAGAUGGUCUGAGAUGGGCCCAGGGAGGCUGUUGACAGAUAUCUUGAGAUGGAUCUUAUUCCAUUGACAUAUCUGAAGACUGUCCCGUGGGAAAUGUCUUCACGGGCCUGGAGGCUGACAGAACAAGACGGAAACCCUUCAAGAGAAUUGCCAAUAAAGAGACUGAAAAUGGGCACUACCUUCUGGAGAGCUCUGACUAAUGAGAACUGGAAGUCCUUAAGGAUGACCCUAAAAGGUCACAGAAUCCUCAGUCACCCUGGAAAAGGGACGCUGUGCUCUCAUGUAUGGGUUACGACUCUUCGGCUGCAGGGAACGCCCAACCAUUUGAAGAAACUGAUGCAAUCAGAUGGUGCCCCCAUUCCAGAUUCCCAGGGAAGAGAAGCUGAUUGGUCCAGCUGGUGUCCACUGUAUACACUUCAGCUCCAAUCAUCUAUGGCCAAGGAGGCAACAGCCCAUUGUACAGACCUGGAGGCUGAGGUUUACUCCUGCCCUCCUGAGGAUGGGGAUAAAGAAGGAGGUCUCAAAGGGUAGGAGAAGAGGAGUGUCACCGUGUAGAGGCACCAAAGAUGUCAUUCCACUUUACAUAGUAGAGAAAAAAGGGGAUUAAUGUUUCAGAAUAAUUUUCAAUAACCAAGGUCACAAUCUAAAAGGUUUUCUGCAUAUACCACAAUUAAGCCAAAAAUUCAACUUAGUUAAACAUAUUUUGCUCUGCAUUCCAAUUGUUGCAGACACAGAUGGUUGCCCACCUAACAGCCUGUUCCCCUUUCUGCUUAACUGGCAGGAUCCCACAUAUAUUUGGGUGUCUAUUCCUCCCUCAUAUCAGUCAUAGAAAGCUUGCCCUAUCCCUGUGUUUAGAAGUAAAUUAGUCUAAUGGUUGCAUUGUGAUCCCUUUUGGCUUAGACAUGGGCAUAUGACACAAUUGUGACCAAUAAAACAUGAUGAUGAAUCUUCUGAGAGGCCUUCUGCAAAGAUAUUUUUCUCACUGAUAAAAAGAAACUCACAGGAACACUUCCUAUCCAUCUAACACUUUAGUAUCUGGAUGUGAGGCCUGGAACUGUGGCAGCCAUCUUAUGACCAUAAGGGGACCUAGCAUGAAGACAAGAGAGCAGAAAUAUGGAAAGAACUUGGGCCUUUGAUGAACCAUUUGAGCAAAUGAGUUAACCCACCUGGGACUGUUUUACCUCUGGCAUUCUGUUUUAUUUUAUUUAUUUAUUUUAAAAAUGGAAGUAUAAUUAACAUAUAACAUUAUAUUAGUUUCAGGUGUGCAAAGUAAUGGUUUGUUGUUUGUUUAUAUUGUAAAAUGACAUCACAGUGAGUGUAGUUAAAAUCUGUCACCAUACAUAGUUUCAAAUUGUUUGCUUUUGAUGAGAGCUUUUAAGAUCUACUCUCUUACUGACUGUCAAAUAUGCAGUUCACUAUGAUUAACUGUAGUCACCAUGUUGUACAUUACACCCUAGAUUGUUGUUACUUGAUAAAAGAAGUAUUGUUUAAAUCAGUUAUUUUUAAUUUUUUGUUACUUGCAAUCCCAAACAUCCUAAUUGAUGCACUUCGUAAUUAAUAGAAAUCACAAAGCCACAAAUAAGACAUACUUUAAUAAAAGCUGACAAUAGCUGGAGAAUAAUUCCGAAAAUGCUUAGAAGAAGGUGUCCCUUAGGCAAUAUUGAAAUAGAUAGCCAAGAGAUCACGAAUCAUUUCUAACACUCCCAGAGCCUUACCAAGACACAGCAUUUUGCAGGCAGACCAUUAUUUUUUUAUAUUUUUAAAAAGCAACUCAAAGAAAUUAUUUGUUUAGAGUAGCUUUUUUAUGCUUCAAAGUCUUUGCUCCUGUAGAUGUGGAGUUGGACAAGUUUAAAGUGGUUUCAUUGUGCAUUCUGCUUGCUCGAGUUUGAUAGGCCGUGUUCACAUGACAGGUCUAUCCCUGCAGCGGAUGUCUGGGAUGCUUUGAUGUGGGUUGCAUUCGGACAGCCUAAUACUAGGGGAAAAUGUGCUGAAAUCGAACAAGAUUGCUUUCUGCCCAGCUGUUCUCUGAAGGCUCAGACAUUUUUAGCACUGAGCUAAGAAGCUUGUAUUUGUUUUGACGGUCUUGGCAGGGAGAACAAUGGUUGAUUAUCCCAGCACUUUACUAACAAAUAAGACUGCCUCCAGCAGAGAUAAAAUAUGGGUCUUGGCUUGAUUGCAUUUCAUGUCCCAGGAAAUUAUUUUCUUUUCAUUCUGAUGCCCUUUCAUUAUGCAAUGUACCUUUUGCUUUCUUUAUCCUUGCCCCACGUGGUAACCCAUGGCUUUCGCUCAGAGAAGGCUGAUUCCCAAAAUCACCAUGGCAGGGUGGUUUGAUUAGCAUAUAAAACAUGUAUUUUCACUUCUCUAAUUUCUUAGAAACUAAUUUUUUUGUUUGUUUUUGGUUCUCCAGAUUUGUAUGGUUAGUUUCUUCUCUAAUUUUCUGUCUGCUUGCUUUUGGCAUUUGUUUACGUUGCUGAGACUGUUUCAGCAUAGAGAAGUCUCGGAUUUUACAUCACACCUACAUUUAAAAGGUCUAUCCCAGGUGUUUUCUUCACCCAUACAGAGAAGUGCUUUACCCACAACAAUUGUGUUUUCUUCAAAACAAAGGGACUUUUAAAUAGUUUCAUGAAAACAUUACUAUUUUUCCUUUAUUAUUUUCUUUCCAAAAGGUUUUAAGAAUUAAAUAUUUUGUAAGUGUAACAUAUGCAGAUAAGGGUACGGCUCAAUGUAUUUUCAUGAAGUGAACACACAGACGUAACCAUUGUCCCCUCAGGCCCACCCAGUCAUCACCUCCCCACUCUAUCACUGCCUGCCUCUCUCCAAAGGUAACAACUGUGCUGAUGUCUGUCAUCACAGAGGAAUUUUCCCUCUCUUUGCUCAAUAUUAUGUUUGUAUGAUUCAAUUAUGUUAUCAUGUAUAGUGGUGAUUUCUCCAUUUUUACUGCUGCAUACUAUUCCAUUGUGUGAAUACGAUGCAAUUUAUGUUGAUGGACAUUUGGUUUGCAUCUCUUUGGAGCUAUUACAAAUAGUACUGUUAUCACAUUUUUGUGGCUGUCUUUGGAUGAAUAUAUACACAUAUAGUUUUAGUUCUGUAUACUGAGGGGCAGAAUUACUGGGGGACAAAGCACAAAUAUCUUUACCUUUGGUGGACUGUCCCAAUUUACACUCCCAUCAAAGGGAUGUGAAAAUCCAGUAUUAAUUCAAAUCCUUGCCUGCACUUGGAAUUAUUGGCCUUUUAAUUGUAGCAAUUCUAUUAAGUGUGUAGCGGCAUCUCAUUGUGGUUUUAUUUUGCAUAUUCAUGAUGACUAAUGAAAUUACCCAACUUUUAUCUUUAUUGGCCAAGUCAGAUAUUCUCUUCUAUGAAGUAACCUUGCACAAUUUUUGUCCUUUUUCUAAUGUUAUAUAUAUAUAUAUAUUUGUUAUUAAUUUGUAAGACUUCUUUAUUAUAGAAAUGAAUUCUUUGUUGGAUACGUAUAUUGUAAAUACAUUCUCCCAUUCUGUAGAUUGCCUUUUUACAGUCUCAUGGAAUCUUUUGAUAAGUAGAAAUGAUGAAUGUUUUUAAACUUUUUAAUUUGAAAUAAUGUUAAACUUACAAAAACUUUGGACUUGCAAAAAUAAUAGAGUUCCUGUGUACUCCUCAUCCAGCUUUCCCUAAGAGUAACACAUUCCACAUUACAUAAUGAUAGUGCAAUUACUGAAGCCAGAAAAUUAAUAUUGUCACAAUACUAUUAACUAAUCCAGAGACCUUAAUCUCAUUUUGCUAAUGGUCCACUACUAUCCUUUUUACAGUUCAGGAUCCAAUCCAGGAUUCCCACGUUGCCUUAAAUUGACAAGUCUCCUUGGUCUCUUCCAAGCUGUGGCAAUUCCUCAGUCUUUCUUUGUCUUUUAUCACCUUGACACUUUUGAAGAGUAAUUUUGUAGAAUGUCCCCCAAUUGGGUUUGUCUGAUGUUUUCUUAUGAUUAUCAACACUAUUUUAAGCAUUAGUAACUAUAAACAUGAUAUCUUUAAGAAGUUUUGGUUUAUUUUUUUUUCCACCCUAUUUAGCAUUCUGUUUUGAAUUUUGAUAAAUAUUUACAGUCAUGAAACCACUACCGCGAUCAACAUAUAAAACAGUGUCAUCAACCCCCUAAAAUUCCCUCAUGUGCCUUUGUAGUCAGCUUAUUCUCCCCAAUCCCAACCCCUGACAACUACCUAUUUGUUUUUAAUCCCUGUAGUUUUGUUUUUUCAGAAUGCCAUAUAAAUAGCAUCAUACAACAUGGAGCCUUUUGAGUCGGCCUUUCUUCACUUAGCAUAAUGUAUCUGAGAUACAUUCAUGUUGGUAUAUCAGUAAUUUGCUCCUUUUCAUUGCUGAGUAGUAUUCCAUUGUGUGGAUGUACCACAAUUUGUUUAUCUAUUCACCAGUUGGUGGACAUUUGAGUUGUUUCCAGUUCUAGCUAUUACUAAUAAAGCCACCAUAAAAAUUUGUGUCUAAGUCUUUGUGUGAGCACAAGCUUUAAUUUCUCUCAGAUGAAUACUAGGCAUGGAACUACUGGGUCAUAUGGUAAGAGUAUGUUUAACUGUAUGAAUAAGUAAUUGCCAACCAGGUUUUCAAAGUGGCUGUGCCAGUCUGCAUCACCACCAGUGACACAUGAGAAUUCUGGUUUCUCCACAUCCU
Molecule: long non-coding RNA, 5221 nt
Organism: Globicephala melas (long-finned pilot whale)
Lineage: Eukaryota; Metazoa; Chordata; Mammalia; Artiodactyla; Delphinidae
Source: RefSeq, a predicted model, not a curated record